Molecule: unclassified non-coding RNA, 1874 nt
Filed under: Hevea brasiliensis (rubber tree)
Lineage: Eukaryota; Viridiplantae; Streptophyta; Magnoliopsida; Malpighiales; Euphorbiaceae
Source: RNAcentral
GUUUAUUAAGAGCAAAACUUCUUCCAGACAUCAUUUGAUUUGGCGGGUGUAAUAUUCUGAACCUCACAGCAUUAAGUUGAGCUUUUCCAAACCAUGAAAUAACCACAUCCAAACCCUCUAUUCACAAGAGUUGCAUUUUGCAUCAUUGUUUUAGCCAGUUCCUUCUCACUGCGAAGAAGCUUUCUCACUACUGCCAACAGAAUCAAGCAAUGCUAAAUACUCAUUUAUGGCCUCGCCUUCUUUUGUUACUUCAAUGUCAUAGUCAGUCAAGGCAUCUCCUUUUGCUAUUUCAUCUGCGAUUUCAUCUUCCAUCUCUGCAUCCCUCUGUUCAAUUUUGCUGGUAGAUGGACCUCCAACAUCACUAUCAUUGCUCAUAUGAUCUUCGCCCAUACCCUCAUUGUUGGUAGGUAUUAACCCAGGAGAAAUUGUAUUGUUAGCAGGAUCUGUUGGGUUAGAACUUGAUUGUGUGAGCAACUGUUGCAUUGCUUGAUCCAUCGAGCCACCAGCUUGAACAGCUUCAACCACUCUUGAUCUUUCAAAACCCAUGGAUACAAGCUGCUCAAUUGUAGCCUCAUCUUUUUGUCGUUGUCUUUUUCUUUUCUUUGAUUCAAUAUCGCGCUGGAUGGCUGUAUUAGUUUCUGGAUUUGUCAAGUCAUCUAAUGCCUUCUGAGUGUCAUUUUCAUUUCUUCGUAGAGCUUCAGCAGCAAGCUCUUUAUCAAACCCAACAGAGAUCAACUCUUUCAAUCUCUGGAGAUCCACAGCUUUCCUUAAGGGUGUCACUCCAUAACGUUGUUGCUCCCUAAUUUCAUUUCUUCGACGAAUGUCAUCCUCCCGUUUCUUUGCUUUCUUAUCUUUCUCCUCAACAAGAAAAUUAAUGGCACUUUCAACAUCCUGAUUGCUCAUUCUCAGUGCCUUCUUUGCAUCUUGUUCCUUAAAGCCCAUGCUCAUAACAGUUGAUAAGGCUUCAUCUGACACUUGUAACUGGAAGAAUCUUGCUUGUGCAGAGGUCAAAAACCUCCUACAUUUAUCAAACUGGCCACUAUGAUAUGCCACAACUCCUUCCAACAGCUCUAGUCUCAAAUAUAGAGCAAGCUCUGAAGAGCGACCUGCUUGAAGGAGUCUAAAACGGGAAGAAUCCUUGCCAUGAGCAUGUUCAAGUCCUUCUCUAGCCUUUUCAAGGCGUACCCCCGCCACUGAGAGCCAGGCAAUGUCACGGAGCAUGAAAUAGCACCACACCAUGUCUAUUUGCAGUAUUGGGAUAUUGUCAACAAGUUCAAUAGACUUGGGAUUGCAUAAAGAGAAAGCUUCCUCUCCCAUAGUGAGCACUUCUAACGCAUCUUUAAACAUUUGCCUUCUAAUUAGCCCCUUUCCAUUUGCAUGAAGCAUCAGACCCAUCAUUAUUGCUUGUUGAUCAGUCUCAGAAAAGUGCAAUUUCUGCCCACUUUGAUCUUCAAGUUCUAAAUUGAAAUCCUCAAUUGGCAACGAACCAUCUGCAUGUCUUUUGGACAAUGCAGUGACAGCUGCUUUGACUCGAGCGAGUCUACGGUUUCGUUCUUCAUCGGCCAUUAAUUCCUCUUUCAACGAGUUACCCUCCUCUAAAAAGACUCGAGUAACAAGAAUCUUAGAGUUGUUUUUGAUACCCAAUUGACAGACAAAGCUUUUCACUGCCAUCACCAUCUUUCAAGACUUUGCCAGCGCAUAUUAAAUUGAUUGAGUGAGUACCCAUGUUUGAUCGCUUUGCAACUUCCUGUCUGAGCAUGGAAACCGUCCAAUUCUGCAAUUCUACCUCCAGAACACCUACCCAUGUCCCUGCUAUCUUUAGUUUCGCCAUUGAAGUUCGAGAGCAGAGAGAGGAAAAAUUGAGAGUGUCUUCG